RNAcentral lists this transfer RNA (69 nucleotides) under bovine gut metagenome. It matches the Rfam family "tRNA". From Rfam's summary of the family: Transfer RNA (tRNA) molecules are approximately 80 nucleotides in length. The record is from RNAcentral.
CGGAUGUGGUGAAGUGGUUAACACACCUGGCUGUGAACCAGGCAUUCGUCGGUUCAAUUCCGAUCAUCC